This 1488-nucleotide long non-coding RNA is filed under the name Mytilus galloprovincialis (Mediterranean mussel). The record is from RNAcentral. Lineage: Eukaryota; Metazoa; Mollusca; Bivalvia; Mytilida; Mytilidae.
AAGGACUAAUGACAACAUCAAUGGGAAAUGACAUUUUCUGAAGAGUUAUCUCCCUUUGCAAGGGAUAAAUUAUACGUACAUAGCAAUGUGUAUAGCUCUUAAGCUCUCUUUGUUUCAGUUAACAGGGGGUAGAUAGAGUUUAAUGUCAAUCUCUCUCUAGGUCUAUAGUUAACAGGGGGUAGAUAGAGUAUAAUGUCAAUCUCUCUCUAGGUCUAUAGUUAACAGGGGGUAGAUAGAGUAUAAUGUCAAGCAUAUCUCUCUCUCUAGGUCUUUGUUACAGUUAACAGGGGGUAGAUAGAGUAUAAUGUCAAGCAUAUCUCUCUCUAGGUCUAUACACAAAACCGAAUUGAUAUUUGGAAAAUAAAAUCUUUUUUCAAAACAGGGGGUAGGAGAAAAAUGUUACUCUACAAAAUGGUAUUAAACCAGCUACAAUUAAAGGAGAGGGCAACAUGAAAAGUAUAAUAGUUUUCUUAAAGCUUUAAGAAGACUUUAUAUAGAUAGAAUGACAACAAUUACUGUAACAAUUUGUGUUUUUUUUCUUCGCUUUUUUAGUAGUCAAAAAUUGGAAAUCAGUUCAAUGUAGAUAUGUCAAGUCAUAAUAAAGAAGUUAGAGAAUCUCACAUGGUACUUGCCACACAAAAUCGCAUUUAAUUCAAAUGUAAUCUCAAAACAUUUAACAUCUUUAAUCUUAUAAAGAAACUGCUGAAAACUGUCAUUUUUUUUAAACUCCAAAAAGCUUGAUAAAAAAUGUUCUUAUGGUAUGCCCAUGGAUUAAAUACAUCUUUGCUCUGUUUAAAGGGAAAUAAUCCAUUUCAUACUAUGUGAUUAUUGGAUUAUAAUUAUAAUUAUAUGGAAUUAAAGUAUGCCUUUUUAUUUUUUGUUUAAGUUCACAAAUUAUCAAAGUUGGUGCUUUCUUGUUUAAAUUUUAAAUGAAUUAUAAUAAUUUGAAAGCAAGUUAAAGUAUAAUAAAAACUGUUUAUUUUAAUUGAUUUAAACACAGAUGUUUUAAUUACAUUGAGGUGCUGUUGAUUGUUAAGCAAGGCAUAAAAGUUUUUAAAUUCCAUUGUACUUCCUUAAUAUGAAUGAGUUGUACAUCAGUGUUUUUAAGUUUUAAAACUGUAAUUAUGUUAAUACAUUUAAAAGAAAAGGACUAUUUCACAGAUUAUUUCUUGUAAUGUAUUUCUGAUGAUAGAUCUAUAUUUGUAAAUAAUGUUUUACCUAUUGAUAUGAAUGAAUGUUACAUGAAUGAAGAAAUAUUUAUUUCACAGUCAUCUUGUGCAAUUUUAUAAGUUUUUAAUGUUUUACACAUCUUCGUUAUAAAUCAUUGUCAUUUCUAUAUGAUUGGUGCAACUGUUUACAUGUAUCAUUUCAAAAAAUGUCAUCAAUGUAUAGCUGUUUCAGAAAACUAUAGACCAGUUGAAAAAUGUCACAUUUUAUCAAGUUGAGUUUCAUAGGUAGCGAAACAUGGUUGAAAUCUCUUGUUGGAAA